UAGACUGUUUUACCUUACAAAUAGGUUUGGAGAAGUUGAGAGAUGGUAUCUUUUUGGUGUUUUUUCAGUUUUGCCCUUUUCUUUUUUUUUUUUUCCCCACUUUUCCCAUUUAUAUGCUAUUGGAAUUUCACUGUAGGUGUAUUGGAACUGAAUUCCUUACCUGAGUGGUUCUGAAUAUCAGGUGCUCUCAUGACUAUGUGAAGCCAUAGAUAGCUGGCCAAGUGUAUCUAUUCUAAAACUUAUUCAUAACUAUCUGCUGAACAGCUGAUAUUUUAUUGGAUUCACUCAUUUGGAUUCUAGUGCCAAGUACUUCUCCAAGAAUUUCUCAGUUUUCUGAAACCCUUUAAAAAUAGUCUAUCUUCUGUAAGCACAUUGGAUUUAGGGCCCUCAUUCAAGUUCCGUUUACAAAGCGUUCCUCAGCCAGUGUCAAAUUAGUAGAUUUAGCAUCCUCCAUUUUUGAAUGGGUGGCCUUUCUUACGUGGUCUGAUUUUCUUUUAAGCAUGUUAACAGUAGGUUGAGCAGUCUAGCAUCUUGAGUGGACUGGGUUUUUUUGAGGGUUUGUUUGUUUUGUGUUGCUUUAGAAUCAUAGAAUAGUUAGGAGUAAAAAAAAUUGUGCAAGAGUUGAUUUUAAAAGAUUUGCCUAUUAGAAAAAAAUAUCCUAAACUGCAUUCUGUUCAUCAGUGGUCUGGUCAUGCCAAAGUGAAUCGACAUUUGGAGCUGAAAUAUUCAAAUACCAAGUAGUUCAGAUUUUUGAUAUGUAAAAGCUGGCCAUUAAGCCAAGAGAUGACUAUGUGAGUAUUGACCUUGUAAAUAAGCUAAUACAAAGUAAUGCGCUCAAAAUCUGAGCCCCUCUUGUGCCAUUGGAUAUCGUGUUGUAUUACCCCUACAGCUGUACAAAGCCUGACAGAGAUACACUGCACAGACUCUAUCUUUCAUGGUGGGAAAAUGAACACGUUUGUGGUCUGUGAGAGGGAGUGGUUCAAAAAGGAUUCUGUACUAUUGGCCUGGAACAUUGUCUCAUAAAGGUUGAGCAUGCAAAAAUGAGCAGAACGUUAUUAAACUUACAAAAGUAA
This is a long non-coding RNA of Neopsephotus bourkii (Bourke's parrot), 1073 nucleotides long. RefSeq lists it as uncharacterized. The record is from RefSeq and is a predicted model, not a curated record. Lineage: Eukaryota; Metazoa; Chordata; Aves; Psittaciformes; Psittacidae. The transcript is spliced from 2 exons.